This 465-nucleotide ribosomal RNA is filed under the name uncultured Klebsiella sp. RNAcentral's name for it is "bacterial SSU rRNA". It matches the Rfam family "Bacterial small subunit ribosomal RNA", at positions 338 to 795 of the family's 1533-position model. Lineage: Bacteria; Pseudomonadati; Pseudomonadota; Gammaproteobacteria; Enterobacterales; Enterobacteriaceae. The record is from RNAcentral.
CCUACGGGGGGCAGCAGUGGGGAAUAUUGCACAAUGGGCGCAAGCCUGAUGCAGCCAUGCCGCGUGUGUGAAGAAGGCCUUCGGGUUGUAAAGCACUUUCAGCGGGGAGGAAGGCGUUAAGGUUAAUAACCUUGUCGAUUGACGUUACCCGCAGAAGAAGCACCGGCUAACUCCGUGCCAGCAGCCGCGGUAAUACGGAGGGUGCGAGCGUUAAUCGGAAUUACUGGGCGUAAAGCGCACGCAGGCGGUCUGUCAAGUCGGAUGUGAAAUCCCCGGGCUCAACCUGGGAACUGCAUUCGAAACUGGCAGGCUAGAGGCUUGUAGAGGGGGGUAGAAUUCCAGGUGUAGCGGUGAAAUGCGUAGAGAGCCGGAGGAAUACCGGUGGCGAAGGCGGCCCCCUGGACAAAGACUGACGCUCAGGUGCGAAAGCGUGGGGAGCAAACAGGAUUAGAUACCCCUGUAGUC